This 4321-nucleotide long non-coding RNA is filed under the name Pan troglodytes (chimpanzee). RNAcentral describes it as "long non-coding RNA NONPTRT017337". Lineage: Eukaryota; Metazoa; Chordata; Mammalia; Primates; Hominidae. The record is from RNAcentral.
AACUCCUGACCUCAGGUGAUCCGCCCACCUCAGCCUCCCAAAGUGCUGGGAUUACAGGCAUGAGGCACCACAUUCGGCCAAAGUUCUAUGUCUGGUCACAGCCAUUUACAUUAAUCAGAAUUCACAGAACCAUCCAUCUUGAAGUGGUAAAUUUGCUGCAUAGAAAUUAUACCUCAAAGACCAGACGUUCAAAAAUGCCUUUGUGUUUUGUAAGCUUCAACACUUGCCCAGUGGGAACCACAAAAGCGUUGCCCAAUUUGUUGAAAGCAUUGCUGUUAUAACUUCAACAUGUGGGGAGAAGUUAUGUUUUCAUACUGUCUUUGUCUGCUCUGGCCACCGUUACAAAACACCAUAGACUGGGUGGAUUGAUCAACACACAUUUCUUUCCCACAGUGGAGGCUGGAAGUCCCCAAGACCCAGGUUCCUGGGGAGGGCUUUCUUCCUAGCCUGCAGGUGACCAACAUCUGCUGUGUCCUCUUGUGACUCUUCCUCAGUUCCUGUGCCAGAGGGGUCGGGGGACAAGUGGGCGUCCAUCUUAUAAGUGUCCUCAUAAGGCCACCAUCCUGUCGACCAGGGCACCACCCUAUACCUCAGUCAACCUUAAUGACUUCCUUGGUGGCCCCCUGUCCCGUUGCAGCCAGGGUUAAGCUUCAGCGUGCAAAGUGAAAGGCCACACAAAUCUUUGUCCGUAACAAAUGCCCAGUGGACAGGACACUCGGGUGCCCUGAGGCUGCAGGAGCUGAGGGUGAUCUUGCUCAGGUACUUCUGCUGGUACCUGCUGUAUGGGAAAAAGUCUGUUCCUCCUGGCUGGUGUCAGAAGUAACCAGGCUGAAGCCAUGCUCUGAAAGAACCUGUGCAGGGAGAGAAAGACCUGUUUGAGACCGACCUGAAAGCUCUCCGAGGGGAAAGAGCAGGUAAGCCUGGCUCCCUGAAGGUCCAGGGGGAAGAAUGGGCUUCCCUGAGAGGCCUCAUGAGGGCCGCAGUGGGAGGGAAUGAAAGGGGCGGACAGGGUAGGGAUGGGGCAGGGAUAGGAGGGAGGUCUGCAGCUGCACCCAGCACUACUCCCUCUGCCCACCAGUUCACAAAUGUGACCCCGGCCCCCUCCCAGGCUGAACAGAGGGUCCCCCUAAUUUGCUGUGGCUCUGGGGAGCAGGGGCCCUGCUGGGACGUCCUGGUGAGCAGGGGGUCACUCAGGGUCUGUGCUCUGAACUCCAGGCAAGGGAGCCUGGGGAGUCAGGGCAGGAAAGGACAUGGCCUGAGGGCCUGUGGCUCAUCACCACCCUCUGCGUCCUAGUUUGCAUUCCGGUGGCAUCUGCUGCCAGGGAAAGCCACUCGUCAACACGAGCUGCGGGAGGAGAGGGGAGCUAUUUGGGGCAGGAGACAGACUAAGAAAUAGACAUUGCUCCCCGUGGAUUUCAGCCCUUUUGGGUUUCAGCUGUGCCCUCAUUCUUCCCUGUACGGGGACAGCUGGAUCUUUGCAGGCAGUGCAACAGAGGUGCAACUCCAGAUGUAGUGAUUCCACUUUGGACAGAGGUGCCAGGUGGGGGCCCCAGACUUGUGUCCAGGAGGGCACUGUCUGUGUGCCACAGUCCACCGGCCUCCUGGAGAUGAAAUCCCCAUGCCAGCCAAGAGGGGUACGCGAUGCUGACUUAGAGUUCAGCAUCACUCCACUUCUCCACUCGCCAUGACUCCUCACCUUCUCCUGGGCCCUGCCCUGAUUUUCUGAAUCUCCUCCAGCCCUCUGCGGUGGAAAUGAGGAGGUCGAUGGCUCCGAAACCAGCAGGUCUGGGGUGUUAAGGAAGAUGGCCCUAAGUAUAUCAAUUAGGAAGGGCUUCAGAAGGAAACAGGAUUCUACUCUGAAAGUGCAAAUGAAGGCAUUUUAAUGAAGGCACUGAAAGUUGUGGGCAUUGUAAAGGGAUUCAGCGAAGGAGAACAAGAUGUCCAGAGUUGAACAGUAGCAGUAAGCCAGAGGGGAAGCUACUGUCAUUGGAAUCCAGUGAGGACCGCAAGCGUGAAGGAGGGACUACCCUGUGGGGACUGAGUAUAGAAGGGACCCAGCCAACGGCAGAACAGUGGCCCACACAGGAAAGUGACAGGGAAGAAAUACCCCAACCCUCUCCCUUCCUGCCCUGGUACUUUCCGUUGGUACUUGCUGAGGUCAAGCUAAGUGGCGUUUAGGAUCCCAGGUAACUCAGUCCCUAGGAGCCAGCCUCCCAGGACCCAGGGAAGUACAGCACAUGGAUCUGUAUUGGGGAAAUGGGAGACAAAUGGAAAAUAAUGGCUCAGCAUCAUCUAGUACAUAUUCACAGAGGACAGAGUUGACAGCUAUGAGCUAUUCUGAUUUCAGGGCUGAUAAAGACACCACACUACCCAUUAUUAAGCCUUAUCAUGUACAAUAUACUAUGCCCAGGAUUUGCAAGUGUUAUCUUGCUUAAUCCUCAUAGCAACCACAUGAGGGAAUUACUCUUCUUGUUUUCCACAUUUAGCAGGUCAAUAUGCCAGAUAUUAUAUACUGAUUUUUAGCACCAUCACUGCCUUUCUAAAUCUCUCAGGUAAUGUAGAGGCUGAAAGCCUAACAGCUAUGUUUCUCAGGAUCCCAGCAGGCUUCCAAUUUAGAUUCUCAGCCAAGUUUUAGUAGGCAGAGGAAAGGGAGCAAUCAUUUUCCCAUGGCAGCUGUGUGCAGGCAUGCAGAUUUCAGCAGAUGGCAGUCAUGAGGUUUUGCCAUUAACUUUGGGUCUUCUGCAAAUCAUCCUGAUACUGAAGAUAAUUAUAUCAUUUGCAGGGGGUUCCAAUGAUUCCUGUAGUUUACUGAGCUCUUGAAAAGAAGCAACCGUUUUUCCUGACCUUGACACUCAAGCAUUUUUGAUGGUUCUAGAAGUACCCAUUUUCAGGGAGAAAUCAGUGGAAAACUAUAGCAACGCCAUACAGGAAAAACCAUCAAGAGCUCAGAAAUGAAUGUCUGGUCACCCCAACAAAUAAAGAACAACAAUCAGCUGAGGUUCAAAUUGGAAGAAGGCCAAGUGUGGCCUCAGGAUCAGUUGCAGACUUGAGAACAAUUGCAGCAGCCUGGAUUUUCAUGUUGUUUUAUGUAUUUGUAUAUCCCAAUUUCCCUUUUUUCCUUCUUUUCCCCAAGUGUUCACAUUGGUUACAUUUAUCACUGAUCUUUAGGAUAUAAGAUUGUGGUGGCCAUGGAGGUGUACCACCCAGAUCUACUUCAAAAGAACCUGCUGUGGGAAGCAUAGUUGAUGACGGCCUUCAGCUACUGCUCUUCCAGAUCCAUCAUAGCUGUCACACCAACACUGCAUUUCUACUGAGUAUACCCAGCCAAUGGCUGACAGUGGCAGGGUCCAACUUUUCUUGAACCAUUACUGCUCAACCUGGCACCCUUUGCUCAGGAAUUCUCAUCAACCUGGUCCAGACUUUCUCAGACUUGCAAUGGGGUGUGAAGAUGCUCUGCCUCCUCCUGUUCCCAAGAUCCUUUUUCCUUGCCAGGCAUUUCCACCAAUAAAUCUCUUUCACAUAUAAUUCAGUCUUGGCAUCGGCUCUUGGAGGACCCAAACUGACAGGGAUGUGAAGCUGAGAUUGUGAUUAAACAAUCUCACUCAAAGAUGGAUAUGAUGAUUUUAUGAGACUUUUCAGAGAGGAAAAGAGUGUUCUGUUUGCAUAGAGAAUAGUCAUAUUGUGUUAGGAGCAUGCUGUUACUAUUCUUGUUUUCUAGAAAUUUUAAUAAAGAAGGUUGUGUGCAUACGCUGAGCAGCCAAAGUGGUAGGCUUGCUAGAUCGUGUUUCAAUAGGCACUCAAAUCCAAUUCCCCUAAAUCCUAAUUCCAUUUUUCUGUGUCAUGUUGCAGCUGCCUUACUCUAGUAUUGUGGAUGUGAUUUUGGGUGCAAUGAGAUGCACUUACUAAUAUCUGCAGUGUACAAUGCAGGCAGCAGCAGCGCCAGCUAAAGCUGAGCUCUGGUAGAGUUGGAUUGGAUUUUUACAGUGACCUACCUCUUCAGUGUGAUAUUUCCUCCUGGUCAUCAGCUACAGGCUGUGAGACAGCCCGGGGGAGACAGGGUAGCCAUGUUUCCUCCUACCUCCCAACCACUGGCUGGCGCACCAGCCUCCUGGCCUUAGGUCGCAGCCACAAUGACGUGACCUCCUAAAAUCCCUGGCAAGCUGGAGGAGCAGCCCUGCAACCAAGCCUGCUCUAAGAUAAGGGUUUCUGUUUACUAACCUAGAGCUACUCUAUUCUUUCAUCCUUCUUCCCCUUUCAACUGUCUCGCGCAAGUACUAAUGUUGCCAUUAAAUACGCAUUUUGUUUUGCAAAAUGAGAAGAG